AUAACACUUGGAAACAGGUGCUAAUACCGCAUAACCAUAGUUACCGCAUGGUAACUAUGUAAAAGGUGGCUAUACUACCGCUUUUGGAUGGGCCCGCGGCGCAUUAGCUAGUUGGUAGGGUAAAGGCUUACCAAGGCAAUGAUGCGUAGCCGAAUUGAGAGGUUGAUCGGCCACAUUGGGACUGAGACACGGCCCAAACUCCUACGGGAGGCAGCAGUAGGGAAUCUUCCACAAUGGGCGAAAGCCUGAUGGAGCAACGCCGCGUGGGUGAAGAAGGUCUUCGGAUCGUAAAACCCUGUUGUUAGAGAAGAAAGUGCGUGAGAGUAACUGUUCACGUUUCGACGGUAUCUAACCAGAAAGCCACGGCUAACUACGUGCCAGCAGCCGCGGUAAUACGUAGGUGGCAAGCGUUAUCCGGAUUUAUUGGGCGUAAAGGGAACGCAGGCGGUCUUUUAAGUCUGAUGUGAAAGCCUUCGGCUUAACCGGAGUAGUGCAUUGGAAACUGGGAGACUUGAGUGCAGAAGAGGAGAGUGGAACUCCAUGUGUAGCGGUGAAAUGCGUAGAUAUAUGGAAGAACACCAGUGGCGAAAGCGGCUCUCUGGUCUGUAACUGACGCUGAGGUUCGAAAGCGUGGGUAGCAAACAGGAUUAGAUACCCUGGUAGUCCACGCCGUAAACGAUGAAUGAUGAGUGUUGGAGGGUUUCCGCCCUUCAGUG
This 716-nucleotide ribosomal RNA is filed under the name uncultured bacterium. Its description in RNAcentral is "bacterial SSU rRNA". It matches the Rfam family "Bacterial small subunit ribosomal RNA", at positions 143 to 845 of the family's 1533-position model. The record is from RNAcentral.